This is a non-coding RNA of Triticum urartu, 412 nucleotides long. NCBI's taxonomy places the organism in Eukaryota, Viridiplantae, Streptophyta, Magnoliopsida, Poales, Poaceae. The record is from RefSeq and is a predicted model, not a curated record.
UUAACUCUCUUCAAGCAAAUUCUGCGACACCUCCGUCAUUUGCCACCACUUCAAAUAAGCCUUCAACACUACAGCUAGCUAAGACAUGGGCCGACACAAUCGCUUGUGGUGUUUUGAUGUUCAAUGAUGACCAAAACAUACCUGAUGGAGCCGUUACUUUUGCCCAAUUAUCUGAUCAGCUGCCUACUAAAUCAGCGUCUCGCCAUCUAAAGUACGCUACUGACCAUUGGACUGCACGUGCUUAUCAGCCUAAACUGAGUAUUGACAGCCUUGCUUCUGUUGAACAAUUCAUGAACAAACUAUCUGAAGAUGUUGCUAGGAGGCCUUGGGUCAGACAUGAUUAUCCAAGAUUCAUUUCAAUCAAUGGAUCUUCCAUUAGAGACCAGUUAGUUGGUGAUACACCACUAGACCA